ACGCUCGACACCUACGGAGGCAGCAGUUGGGAAUAUUGGACAAUGGAGGAAACUCUGAUCCAGUGACGCCGCGUGAAGGAAGAAGGUCUUCGGAUUGUAAACUUAUUUUGUCAGGGAAGAAAAAAUGACUGUACCUGAAGAAAAAGCACCGGCUAACUACGUGCAGCAGCCGCGGUAAUCUGAGCGGGCUGGCAAGGC
RNAcentral lists this ribosomal RNA (198 nucleotides) under uncultured bacterium. Its description in RNAcentral is "partial 16S ribosomal RNA". It matches the Rfam family "Bacterial small subunit ribosomal RNA", at positions 328 to 539 of the family's 1533-position model. The record is from RNAcentral.